UCCGGUUUGUCACCGGCAGUCUCAUUAGAGUGCCCUUUCGUAGCAACUAAUGACAAGGGUUGCGCUCGUUGCGGGACUUAACCCAACAUCUCACGACACGAGCUGACGACAGCCAUGCAGCACCUGUGUGCAGGUUCUCUUUCGAGCACCAAUCCAUCUCUGGAAAGUUCCUGCCAUGUCAAGGGUAGGUAAGGUUUUUCGCGUUGCAUCGAAUUAAUCCACAUCAUCCACCGCUUGUGCGGGUCCCCGUCAAUUCCUUUGAGUUUUAACCUUGCGGCCGUACUCCCCAGGCGGUCAACUUCACGCGUUAGCUACGUUACCAAGGAAGUAAAUCCCCAACAACUAGUUGACAUCGUUUAGGGCGUGGACUAC
RNAcentral lists this unclassified non-coding RNA (372 nucleotides) under uncultured Gammaproteobacteria bacterium. RNAcentral's name for it is "contains 16S-23S intergenic spacer region". Lineage: Bacteria; Pseudomonadati; Pseudomonadota; Gammaproteobacteria. The record is from RNAcentral.